RNAcentral lists this ribosomal RNA (212 nucleotides) under uncultured Gammaproteobacteria bacterium. RNAcentral describes it as "partial 16S ribosomal RNA". It matches the Rfam family "Bacterial small subunit ribosomal RNA", at positions 1174 to 1382 of the family's 1533-position model. Lineage: Bacteria; Pseudomonadati; Pseudomonadota; Gammaproteobacteria. The record is from RNAcentral.
UGGGGAUGACGUCAAGUCAUCAUGGCCCUUAUGGGCUGGGCUACACACGUGACUACGAAUGGACCGGUACAGAGGGUUGCCAACCCGCGAGGGGAGCCAAUCUCAAGAAAACCGGUCGUAGUCCGGAUCGCAGUCUGCAACUCGACUGCGUGAAGUCGGAAUCGCUAGUAAUCGCGAAUCAGCAUGUCGCGGUGAAUACGUUCCCGGGCCUU